AUCGAACGCUGGCGGCAGGCCUAACACAUGCAAGUCGAACGGUAGCACAGAGAGCUUGCUCUCGGGUGACGAGUGGCGGACGGGUGAGUAAUGUCUGGGAAACUGCCUGAUGGAGGGGGAUAACUACUGGAAACGGUAGCUAAUACCGCAUAACGUCGCAAGACCAAAGAGGGGGACCUUCGGGCCUCUUGCCAUCAGAUGUGCCCAGAUGGGAUUAGCUAGUAGGUGGGGUAAUGGCUCACCUAGGCGACGAUCCCUAGCUGGUCUGAGAGGAUGACCAGCCACACUGGAACUGAGACACGGUCCAGACUCCUACGGGAGGCAGCAGUGGGGAAUAUUGCACAAUGGGCGCAAGCCUGAUGCAGCCAUGCCGCGUGUAUGAAGAAGGCCUUCGGGUUGUAAAGUACUUUCAGCGGGGAGGAAGGUGUUGCGGUUAAUAACCGCAGCAGUUGACGUUACCCGCAGAAGAAGCACCGGCUAACUCCGUGCCAGCAGCCGCGGUAAUACGGAGGGUGCAAGCGUUAAUCGGAAUUACUGGGCGUAAAGCGCACGCAGGCGGUCUGUCAAGUCGGAUGUGAAAUCCCCCGGGCUCAACCUGGGAACUGCAUUCGAAACUGGCAGGCUAGAGUCUUGUAGAGGGGGGUAGAAUUCCAGGUGUAGCGGUGAAAUGCGUAGAGAUCUGGAGAAAUACCGGUGGCGAAGGCGGCCCCCUGGACAAAGACUGACGCUCAGGUGCGAAAGCGUGGGGAGCAAACAGGAUUAGAUACCCUGGUAGUCCACGCCGUAAACGAUGUCGACUUGGAGGUUGUUCCCUUGAGGAGUGGCUUCCGGAGCUAACGCGUUAAGUCGACCGCCUGGGGAGUACGGCCGCAAGGUUAAAACUCAAAUGAAUUGACGGGGGCCCGCACAAGCGGUGGAGCAUGUGGUUUAAUUCGAUGCAACGCGAAGAACCUUACCUACUCUUGACAUCCAGAGAACUUUCCAGAGAUGGAUUGGUGCCUUCGGGAACUCUGAGACAGGUGCUGCAUGGCUGUCGUCAGCUCGUGUUGUGAAAUGUUGGGUUAAGUCCCGCAACGAGCGCAACCCUUAUCCUUUGUUGCCAGCGGUCCGGCCGGGAACUCAAAGGAGACUGCCAGUGAUAAACUGGAGGAAGGUGGGGAUGACGUCAAGUCAUCAUGGCCCUUACGAGUAGGGCUACACACGUGCUACAAUGGCGCAUACAAAGAGAAGCGACCUCGCGAGAGCAAGCGGACCUCAUAAAGUGCGUCGUAGUCCGGAUUGGAGUCUGCAACUCGACUCCAUGAAGUCGGAAUCGCUAGUAAUCGUAGAUCAGAAUGCUACGGUGAAUACGUUCCCGGGCCUUGUACACACCGCCCGUCACACCAUGGGAGUGGGUUGCAAAAGAAGUAGGUAGCUUAACCUU
RNAcentral lists this ribosomal RNA (1423 nucleotides) under uncultured bacterium. RNAcentral describes it as "16S ribosomal RNA". It matches the Rfam family "Bacterial small subunit ribosomal RNA". The record is from RNAcentral.